Molecule: non-coding RNA, 75 nt
Organism: Streptomyces cellostaticus
Lineage: Bacteria; Bacillati; Actinomycetota; Actinomycetes; Kitasatosporales; Streptomycetaceae
Rfam family: ASpks TB sRNA
Source: Rfam
CUUGACCGAGCCGAGCCACAGCGGCUUCUGCGGGUCCCGGCCACGCCCGUACGUCGCCAGCAGCGCCUGCGCCUC